UGUCAGCUGGCCCUGGCAGAACACACUGAAACAACAGAGAUCCCUCCUUAAGACUUUGAGCCCUCCAAUAAAAGGAAGGAGGAAUUAUUGCUCAAAUGUCCCUCUUAAUUCAAGAGCCACGUGUGCAGCUUUAACUGAAGAGAGUUUUGUGGGGCCUGCAGAUGAAAGGAGAUCCGCCAGCAGAGACGACACGAUCGCAGUAAUGUGUAAACACAGGAGAGCAGGAGUGGUCCGGCUUGUGAUUAAUUCCAAGGAGAUGGUAUUUCAGCAUUCUCCUUGCUUUUACUCAAGCCAGGGAGACAGAGCAGGUCUGGUAAGCACUGGGGCCAGGGCCAAGUGUCAAAAUGCCGCUCAUGUUUUUUUGUCUCCCAGUCCUGGGACAAAAGCAGAGGACCACAUUUGGAUCUUGUCCAAAAGGCCAAGAGUGUUUUACUAAUAUGAUUAAACAGUGUGCGUGUUUGGACUUUGAAACCCUCUUCCCAUAAAGAAACACCAACCCCCAAAUAAAAUAUAAAGUGACUGUGUUGACUGACAGCAGGUGUUAUUUCAGAACGGGGGCUGUAAAUUGUUCCCCUCAAGGGCUUCAGAGUGAAAAUGAACCUGAAAGAACUUCUGGGUAAAUGUGGCAGAAGAGUCUCUCAUGAAUCUCCAUCUGCUCUCUUCCAAAACUUUACUAAAAACAACUAUACAGGAGUAGAAAGAGUUACAGAUCCACAAGGUCUAUGGAAACAGGAGAGAAGAUGGCAGCAGACAAAGGAUGGAACACAUUUUUGGAAGGUGGGAAGCAGAGGAAGGAGUGAAAACCUUCAGGCACAACCCUUUCCUCCCAGGAUGGUGACUACAGGACACUUUUCUGUAGAAGCUGAGUAAACUCAAGGGAAAGACCUACAGAUACAGACAUGAUAUGGAGACAGACCCUCAAUGGAAGACCCAGCUCAUGACCAACUCCCCUCUACGGGGAAGUCCACUGUUUGAAAGCUCCACCCAAGCAUGCUGACCAGCGAAUCAUUGCUUCAAAGCAUAAUUCUUUGAUAUUAUCAGAGAGCCAAGAUCCCAUUUAAGGAAAGCAUCAGAUGUGAGAAAUGGGGAGGGGAAGGAGAAGAAGAAUGUCUAAGUUCAGGGAGAGGAAAGCUUUAAAAAUGCUAUAAAAAUCCCCAGGGAGAGAAAAUAAGGUUUCUAUUUCAAGAUUCAUUACCCACAAAAUGUCAGAACACCAGAGAUACAGAAAAGACCCUAAAAGGACCCAGACAGAAAAAACAGGUCAAUUGAGAGUAUCAGGGAUCAGAAUGGCACCAGACUUCUCAAAACCAACACUGGAACCUGGGAGAUAAUGGAGUGAGGCCUUUAGAACUCUAAGUGAGAAUUUUUUAUAGCUUAGAAAUAUAAACCCAAACCAUUAAUUAGGAGAAACAGUAGAAUAAGAAAUGUUUUCAGACAAAAGAGAUCACAAAUAAUGGGCCUCUCAUGCUCCCUUUCUCAGGAAGUUCUCCACCCAAACAAAAGAAUAAUUCAAGGAUGAGGGGUGCCUGGGUGGUCAGUCAGUUGAGCAUGACUCCUGAUUUGGGCUCAGAUCAUGAUGUCAGGGUCACGGGGUCAAGCCCCACAUCAGGAUCUGUGCUCCAUAGGAAGUCUGUUUAUCUUUCUCCCUCUGCUCCUCUCCUCCCUCUCUCUAAAAUUAAAACAAUAACAACAACAACAAACAUUCCAAAGAUGAGGAUGACAUGCCCAGGAGAGCAAAAGGGUACCCAAGGUGAUGCUGAAGGAGAGCCCUAAUGACAGUAAGGUGGAAAGCCCAGGGGCAAGAGCUCUGCUCUGAGCCAGAGGAUGAGAACUUCAUGUGAGAGAUGGUCAGAUUACUUGACAGGUAUGCCCAGGUAGAAAAUUAUGUUGAAGGGCUAUUAGACAGUUGUAAGAAUUAGGAAUAAGUUCUUUUAAAAACUGAGUAAAUA
Mustela lutreola (European mink) is the source of this 1949-nucleotide long non-coding RNA. RefSeq lists it as uncharacterized. NCBI's taxonomy places the organism in Eukaryota, Metazoa, Chordata, Mammalia, Carnivora, Mustelidae. The record is from RefSeq and is a predicted model, not a curated record. The transcript is spliced from 2 exons.